Molecule: ribosomal RNA, 495 nt
Filed under: uncultured bacterium
Lineage: Bacteria
Description: partial 16S ribosomal RNA
Rfam family: Bacterial small subunit ribosomal RNA
Source: RNAcentral
GAUGAACGCUGGCGGCGUGCUUAACACAUGCAAGUCGAACGAAGCACCUCUCCCGAAGAUUGACACAGCUUGCUGUAGAUUGAUUCAUUUGAGGUGACUGAGUGGCGGACGGGUGAGUAACGCGUGGGUAACCUGCCUCAUAGAGGGGGACAACAGUUGGAAACGACUGCUAAUACCGCAUAGUAAGAAGAAUUCGCAUGUUUUCUUCUUGAAAGAUUUAUCGCUAUGAGAUGGACCCGCGUCUGAUUAGCUAGUUGGUAAGGUAACGGCUUACCAAGGCGACGAUCAGUAGCAGGCGUGAGAGAGUGAACGGCCACAUUGGAACUGAGGCACGAGUCAAACUCCUACGGGAGGGAGCGGUAGCGAAUAUUGCACAAUGGGGGAAACCCUGAUGCAGCGACGCCGCGUGAGUGAAGAAGUAUUUCGGUAUGUAAAGCUCUAACAGCAGGGAAGAAAAUGACGGUACCUUACUAAGAAGCCCCGGCUAACUACGUG